Molecule: small RNA, 2655 nt
Filed under: Pan troglodytes (chimpanzee)
Lineage: Eukaryota; Metazoa; Chordata; Mammalia; Primates; Hominidae
Description: processed transcript
Source: RNAcentral
GCUGCUGAGACGAUGAUGCUACCCCUGGCAGCAGAAGGCGCUACCACGUAUGAGUGCUUGCUGUGCGCCAGGCACUGUUCAAUGCUUCUGAAUGUUAACUCUUCCAAUCCGUACAACUUAAUGAAGUAGGCUGUGUUCUUGCUUUUCAGAUGAGAAAACAGAGGCACAGAGCUGGGGAGUAGGUUGCCCAAGGUUUCACAGCUAGUAGCUGGGGUUUGAAGCUAUCCUGUGCAGUACUGCCUGUUCUCUGGUCCCCUCCUGUAUGACCUGCCUCUGCAGCCACACGUGGGGCAGAGGGAAGACAUGCAGGCUGGGUGCAUCCUCCGGAGGCUCCUGGGCUAGCAGGAAGGGAGGAAGGAGCAGGGUGUCAUGUGAUACCAUCUGGUGGGCAGGUGGCCUGACCAGGCAGAAGGGAGACAGGCAGGGGGCUCAUUGCCACCAUUAUCCCUGAGUGGCAUGUUAUGAGCACUUUACAGGCUGCGUACUCGGCAUCCUCACAACACCGGGUAUCAGUGAGGAGGGAGGUGAGGCUCCCUGCUUGGGGCUGCCUGCCGUGAAGGCAGCUUCUUGGGAGGCCGGAUCUGGGCCAGGCAGGGUGUGGGGGGCUGGGUCCUUGGCCGUCCCCACCAAGAGAGGGCAAGUGGCAGCUGUGCAGUGGGUCACCCCCGUCCUGCAGGAGCUGGCUUGGAGAUGCCCCUGGGCUUGUCUUGCUGCUUUCAUGGAGCAGAGCGGUCCGUGUGGGUGAGGGUGGGCGAGGCCCAGGCCGAGUUGGGUUGGCCCCUGCCUGGCUGUGUGGUCAUGGGUGGUUUCUUACCCUCUCCUUGCCUCUUCAUCUGUGCAGUGGGGAAGAGUGUCUGCAUCAUGGGGCUACUUUGGGGGUUAGCGAUAAGGCGUGUGGGAUUCCUAGAACUCCGCCUCCUGUACAGCAGGUGCUCAGUCAGUGGCAGCCACUGUUCCAGGACAUUCCAGAGAAAGCACGUCUCAGUGCGGGCUUUUUGCUUUUUCUUCUGUCCCUGCAAGUUCACAUACUGUGCUAGCUCUGGGCGGACCCCACUCUGAGGAUUCCCAUUCUGCUCUUGUUCCACAUUCUUGGUUCUUUUCUAUGGUUCAGGCUCCAGGGUGAGGGCACCUCUGCUGAGAAGCCCUCCAGACUUUCCCCUGAGCCUGGGGUCCCUGCAGGGCCAGAUGUCUGUCCCAUGGUGGGGUCCAGCCUUGGCCGUCUGGCGUUUGCUUUCAGGGCCCAGAGCACUCAUCAGCGAGGCCCGAGAGGUUCCUGCAGAUGAGUAAUGACGACUCGGAUGCCUACCCUGUGAGUGUUGCUGUUGUCCCCAGGACAGGGACGCGCCCUAUUGUGCCCACAGGGCUAGGGGUCCAGGGUGUGGGUGCAGCAGACAGCCACCCUGGCCAUAUGCAUCUCGUCCCCACAGGCAUUCACCAAGGACUUCGAGGUGAGCCAGCUCUAUGACUGCAACUGGAUCGUGGUCAACUGCUCCACACCGGCCAACUACUUCCACGUGCUGCGCCGGCAGAUCCUGCUGCCCUUCCGCAAGCCGCUGAUUAUCUUCACACCUAAAUCUCUGCUGAGGCACCCAGAGGCCAAGUCCAGCUUUGACCAAAUGGUAUCCGGGACCAGCUUCCAGCGGGUGAUUCCUGAAGAUGGGACCGCAGCACGGGCCCCUGAGCAGGUGCGGCGGCUCAUCUUCUGCACAGGAAAGGUGUACUAUGACCUGGUGAAGGAGCGGAGCAGCCAGGGCCUGGAGGAGAAAGUGGCCAUCACGCGCCUGGAGCAGAUCUCUCCAUUCCCCUUCGACCUGAUCAAGCAGGAGGCAGAGAAGUACCCAGGUGCGGAGCUGGUCUGGUGUCAGGAGGAGCACAAGAACAUGGGCUACUAUGACUACAUCAGCCCACGCUUCAUGACCAUCCUGAGGCGCGCACGGCCCAUAUGGUAUGUUGGCCGGGACCCAGCGGCUGCACCAGCCACAGGAAACAGGAACACUCACCUGGUGUCACUGAAAAAGUUUCUGGAUACUGCCUUCAAUCUCCAGGCCUUUGAGGGCAAGACAUUUUAGAGCUGGGCAAGACCUGUGUAGGUCUCGCUGUGGGUUGGCUGGGGACCAAGGGGGUGAUGAAAAGGGGAGGGGCGGAGCUCCUGCCCAGGAGAGGGGCUGUAGGGCCCCAGGAUAAAACAGACUCACACAGUGACAGGGCCAAGAGCCAGCACUGCUGGCCUUGGUGUCAUGCCAGAAUCUACCAGGACUGAGGGAGCCAGAGGAGUCCUAUAGGCAGGCUACUGUGCUGGAGCAUCCCCCAGCUGCUCCCAUCUUGCUGGAAUUUCUUGGGCGGCUUCUCCACCUCUAUCUCAAGACAGACACCCGGGGGCCUGUGUCUGUGGCCGCUCCCAUCCUGGCAGCCCUGGCCGCUGCUCGCCUCACCCUCGCUUAUCUGUAGAUUCAAAGCGAUGUUCUCUUCUGUGCUCUUAGAAGUAGGGAGUUCAGCAGUAACAGCCAGGUGAAGUGAACCUGCUGGGUGAUGUGUUUGCGCUCUGUUUUAUGGGGCAUUCCUGCGAGAUGUGUCAGCUUCUGUGUGAAAUGCAGCCACAGCUCAUGUGUACCAAAGUAGAAAACCAAAUCACAGAGAAAUAAAAACAUGCUUCAG